This 429-nucleotide ribosomal RNA is filed under the name Bacteroidota bacterium. Its description in RNAcentral is "Bacteroidetes bacterium partial 16S ribosomal RNA". It matches the Rfam family "Bacterial small subunit ribosomal RNA", at positions 355 to 776 of the family's 1533-position model. Lineage: Bacteria; Pseudomonadati; Bacteroidota. The record is from RNAcentral.
UAGGGAAUCUUCGGCAAUGGGGGGAACCCUGACCGAGCAACGCCGCGUGAGUGAAGAAGGUUUUCGGAUCGUAAAGCUCUGUUGUUAAGGAAGAACGAGUGUGAGAAUGGAAAGUUCAUACUGUGACGGUACUUAACCAGAAAGGGACGGCUAACUACGUGCCAGCAGCCGCGGUAAUACGUAGGUCCCGAGCGUUGUCCGGAUUUAUUGGGCGUAAAGCGAGCGCAGGCGGUUAGAUAAGUCUGAAGUUAAAGGCAGUGGCUCAACCAUUGUAGGCUUUGGAAACAGUUUAACUUGAGUGCAGAAGGGGAGAGUGGAAUUCCAUGUGUAGCGGUGAAAUGCGUAGAUAUAUGGAGGAACACCGGUGGCGAAAGCGGCUCUCUGGUCUGUAACUGACGCUGAGGCUCGAAAGCGUGGGGAGCGAACAGG